UAUUUAGAUCUCUAAUAUAAUUAUUAUAAUCUGUGUUCUUAGACAUAGAGGACUUAUUAGAUAUAGAUUAUAGAUCUAGACUAGUACUAGUAGACUCUUAAAUUAUUUUAGAUCUAGAACUAUAUACAAGAUCUAGUGUGACUAGAGUAGAGCCCUAGAAUUAGAAAAGGAUAGAUAAUCAAGUAGAUCUAGAAUAAUCUAGACUAGAUUUCACUAGAUCUAGUCAAUAGAUUUAGACCUAGUAGUAACAAAUAAAAAUUGUUUGUUUUUUUAGUUUUUGUUCUUUAGGAGGGUUUUUGGGCCAAAGUCUUGUUCGGGUCUCUUGAUUUAGAAUGCACCAUUGAAGGACAUGGUCAGCAUUCUCAGGUGAUGGGCAAGUUUCUCUAGUCCCGACAUUUAACUUCCAGAACAUAUAUUGUCUCAUUCAGUGAACAAGCCUUUUCCUUUGUGGAAACUAAACAAGCAUUACUACUGGUCGAUUUUGACUGACUGUAAUUUGACAGCAGUCACAAGGAUAGAAACUAGUAAGCUAGUUCCACAGUUCCGGAACAUCAUGCACGAGUGUAAAAAGUAAAAUACUGCACAUUAAGUACAACUGUAUAUUUGUCAGGAUAUUUUAAUGUAAAAUGACAACAGCAAUUUGAAAAAAAAAAUCGUAAAAUUGGUUUAAAUAAUUGCUAACUCUUGUUGUAAUUCCUUAACGUGAAGUGUGGGGAAAAAAAAGAAACGUGAAUAUAAUACAGUGUAAAUAUGAAUUAAAAGACACUCUACACAGUUAGCUUAGAGUGUCUCUAUAAGUUGUAUAUAAAUAUGCGGCCCGCCAUUCCCAAUUUUUAAAAUAAUGCGGCCCUCGAUACAAAAAGGUUGCCCACCCCUGAUCUAAGAUAUUCAUGUACUGUUUUGGAUGUUAUGUAUGUCGACAUAUCCGAUUUGAUUUUCUGGCCCAAUAAGGAGAGUCUCAGGCCCAAAAAAUUUAUUUGUACUUAUGACAGGAAGAUGACAGUAAUAAAUGACUGUUUUGAAAUUUUCAUUGAGAGACCUAGCAGCGUUAAAGCACAGGCACAAACCUAUUCUUCCUAUUAGCACAACACAGUAAAAUAUCUGAUUGGAACUCAUUACUUUCAAUAAAUGAAUUAAAAAUUAUUUAUACUAAGCUUUAUAGUUUCUUUGGAUUUAAUAGCCUUUAAAUUUUUAUUUUUAGAAGUGAUGUUGUUCACAAGAGAAUCAAAUUUAACUUUUUGUUUUUUAAUGAGGUGAUAUCAAUCUCAGAAACCUUAGUUGGCAAAACUUUUUUAAGCUCUGGUGGAUUUAUCCAGUAAGAUAACAAGCCUGUAACUGUCUUACUCUCUUUUAGCCUGGUGUUGGCUUCCAGCAUAAAUAAAGUGUCUGCCACAUUUCUUCUUCUUCUUCAUCGUUCUCAUUGUUAUGUUGGAGUGUUCAUAUGACUAGACCAGUACAUGAGAUGAACUGCGCAGUGGUUUCCAAAUCAGGGAGCUCUCCAUAUAGUUUUCUUUCUAUUGGGGUGAUUUGGGGUCAAUGUCUUAUACGGGCCUCUUGGUAGAGAGAGCAGUUUUGGAGGACGUGGUUGGCAUUUUCUGGUGAUAUUCCACAUGGGCAGAUUUCACUGGUUCCAAUUUUGAGUUUCCGGAACAUGUGUUGUCGCAUUCCGUUGUGUCCGGUCCUGAGUCGAAAGAUUAGACGUUGGUCUUGUCAGGAUAGCUUAUAGUAAGCGUCAUCUUUCUUGUGAUUUGGAUGGGAGCUCGUCCAUUUCUCAUUUAUUUUAUCUACAAUUAAUUUCUUCAUUUCUUCUGGAUAGAGUGCAGAGUUUACUUGUGAGUUUGUUCUCCCACUCUUGGCGAGUGUGUCAGCCUUCUCAUUUCCUGCUAGUUGUAUGUGAGCUGGUAUCCAUUGAAUAACAGUUUUUUUGCUGUUGUUGUUGAGCUUUGUAAGUGCUGUUCUGAGGUUUUUAAUAUGAGGGGAAUCAGAGUUUUGCAAGCUUUGGAGGGUUGUUUUCACGUCUGUUAGAAAGACAAUCUGACUGUGAGGGGAACUUGGAUGAUUUGCUAACAUGGUAGCAGCUAGUGCUAGUGCUUCCCUUUCUGCUCUGUGACUGUCAGAGAACUCUCCAGUUGCAAUGGAUUUUUCUAGUUUUCCUCCAUCUGGCCAUUCGAUAAGUAUUCCAGCUCCUCCAUUUGUGGUGGCUUUAUGGGAUGAGCCAUCCGUGUAAACUCUGAUCCACUGAUUGCUAGGGUAAUUGGUAUGUAGAAAACAGUUCACUAUUUCCUUGAGCUCUGUUGGUCUGUAAUCAGAUUUUCUUUUUAUGUUUUCAAUAUGGUCCCUUAUAGUAGGAAGAGGGCUUUCGUCCCAGGGUAGAGAUUCAUUAUAGUGUAUUGAGGAUUCCAGAGUAAUUUUUUCAAUUUGCUGUUUCUUUUUUAGGUUUAGAGAUUCCUGUAUGAAAUUGGUCCUUUUGAGAUGUUUUUUUGUGCCAGUUUUGUGGAUUUUUGUUCUGAGUGGGUGCCUCUCCAAGGUUUCCAAUUUAGUGAAUUGGGAAAGGAUUUUUAUUUCUCUUCUUUCAUCCAGAGAGAUCAGGGCAGCAGUUUCCUCCAUAGCUCUUAUGGGUGUUGUUUUGAUUGCUCCCGUCAUUAUCCUUUGACCAAUAUUUUGAACCUUGUCUAUUUUUCUUAGGUUGGUUUGGGCUGCUGAGCCCCAUGCUGUGGCACCAUACAGGUCUUACAUAACUGGUAUAGGUCUUUUUCAGGAUGUUGUGAUUAGCUCCCCAAUCUGUGCCAGCUAAUUUUUUCAAGAGGGAUAGUCUCUGGAUGCCUUUACUCUGUGUUUUAUCUAUUUGGUUUUUCCAGGUUAGUCUCGGGUCAUAGGUGACUCCAAGAUAAGUAGGGCUGUCAUUUUUUUUCUAAAGCUUCCAAAUUUAUGUUAAUUUUAUUGUUUGUUGUUUUGUUGACAGUGAGAAUAUGGUAUAUGUGGUCUUUUUUGUGUUAAUGGACAUGCCCCAGUCUUUGGACCAAUUAUUGAGUUUAUCAAGAGCAUCUUGUAAUCGAAAUUUCGAUGUUCCUACAUAUUCUUCUGUGCUAAUUAUGGCAAGGUCAUCUGCAUACAUGCUGCUUUUAACUUUUCUAGGUAGGUUUUGAUUUAGAUCGUUUAUGAAUAUUAGGAAAAGUGUUGGGGAUAGGACUCCUCCUUGGGGGAUGCCAUUUUUUAUACCCACUGUGUGGCUUCUUUGUCCUUGCAUGCAAACUAAGGCUUUUCUAUUAUUUAGGUAUUCCUUUAUCCAGUUGUACAUUCUUUGGGAUAUGUGAUGCUGGAUUAGCUUGAGCAAGAGACCUUGUUCUCAGACUUUGUCAAAUGCUUUUUCUAAGUCAACCCACACAAUUGUUGUUGGUUUCUUUUCUCGAAAGCCAUCUUCUAUUUCUUGUGUGAUGAAGGCAAUUUGAUCUUCUGUUGAUCUGCCUUUUCUAAAGCCAGCCUGGGCUUCAGUGAGUAGGUUAUUUGACUCAAGGAUCCAUGUCUGCCACAUGAGUGCAGGACUCACCAAGUCCAACUAUACAAGAACAGUGGGCUGAUAGAAUAAUACCAUCUUGACUUAUUACUAUCCAGGGCUGCAGUACAUGCUAACCACUGAGAGUGAAGACCUAUUAAAAAGAAAAAAAAAUUAUUUAAAAUACCUGUACAUAUCAAGACAUUGGUCUCAUAUACAUGUAAAUACCUUUGAAUAUCAAGAUAUUAACUAUAAUAUAACAAUAUUUAUUACUUACCUUUGCUAGUGGUUUAAAAGCCAUAACAUCUUGAACCCAACCAUCUAGGAACUGGUUGUAAGCUGCUAAACUCUUGUAAGCCUGUAGACAUUUUCAAAAGUAAAAAUAGCAAUAACAUUUUAAUAAUAGAUGUAGAACUCUUGUAAUAUAAAGAAUUGGUUGGACUUCGAAGCAUCCUAAAAAUAUAGAAAUUCAAAACCCUAGUCUACACCAAAAAUUCAAUUGAGACUAGUGAAGUGCUUCAGCCGCAACAGCCAAAAGGUUUGGGCUAAGGUGUAAUUAGCUUCAAAUCUUAAAGAGCAUUUGAAAGUUGUAAAAGAAACACAGAACUAGUAUCAGAUCUAGGACCAUUAGAUUUAUCAACAAGUUACUAGUCUUGAUGAGCCUAGUCCUAAAAUAAACUCUAAAAAGUCUUCAGCCCUAGACUUAGAUCUAAACUGGAUAGUAAAGUUUUCUUUGGUUUAGAUGCUAGAUCUGAUCUAUAUAAUACUAGUAUCUAAUAAUAAGUAACUAUUAUCUGUAACUAUAGUCCAAAUAUAUCUUGUGCAGAGAUGUGUUUAAUGAGCGCCUAAAGGCAGUACUGAAAACCUCCCAGAUACCCCUCCCCUCCGGUCCACCAAUGAGAUUGGACCAUAGCGCUCUGAGCAUACUAUAACUAUAAGCAUGAAAGUAGUGCUACAUAAAAGCUAAAUUUAUUUAUCUUAUCAAGUGACCUAGAAGUGAAGACUAGAUCUAGCUAUAUCUAUUAGAUAAAAAUUAAGUUUCAUAUGCUUAAAAUAUGCAGCAACAGAGAGAUGUAGAUUUUAGAUGUUAUCUAGAUUUUCUAGAUCUAUUCUAUAGAGUCUAGAUGAGAUCUAGAAUGACCUACUAAGCCUAAGCAUUAUGUAGGCUAGACUCUAGAUCUAGUCACACUCUAAUCUGAGACAUCAUCCAGAUUUUGUAUAUAAUAUAUCUAUGAUCAAUGUAGCCGUAGAUCUACAUCUAGAAUACUAGACCUUGAAGGCUUGAGUAGAGAGUAGAUCUCUAUCACAAUCUAUGUAGGCCUACAUUAUAUGUUACAACAAUGUUGAUCUAGCUCUAGACCAGUGUUUCUCAAACUUUUUUGUCUGCCGGCACAGUAAACAAACUACAAAAAUUUCGCGGCACACCACGAAGAGCAACAGAUGUUUUAUAAUAAAAAGAAAAAAAGAUUUUGCCUGUUUUUCAGUAUUAUGUUUAAUGUGAAUGUUGUGCCUGUUUUUGAGAGCAAAUGCAAUCUAAUCGAGGCUCCAAAGUCGACAAACAAACUCGCAUUUCAUCGUCUAUUGUAAGAAGUCUCUCUCUUUUCUUAGAUUUGAUUUCAGUCAGUGCUGAAAAUCCAAACUCACAAAACCAUAAAGAUGUAAAUGGAAGAAUUAUUUUGAUUGCUUUUAAAUUGAUUACAGGAUAUAACUUGUUGAUUGAAAUCCAAAACACAUCCAAGCUUUCUCGGAAAGCUUGACUUAAGAAUUGCGUCGUUUUUUAAAUCAUUGAGCUGCUCUUCUUCUUUAGUUGUAAAAUUUGUAGCUUCAUUGUUUCCAAAUGGAGAGCUGACCCAUUUAUAUUCAUUACUUCAAACUGUUAAGAAGUAAUGCUGCAAUGUUAACUGCAGGUGUUUCAAAGUGUCCAGAAUUUCGGGGGUGAUUUCUUUAUUUGAAGCAGAUUCAUUGUAAGUAGGAAAGCAGUCCUUUCGUGAUUUUACUUUGCCACAAAGACAAUCAAUUUUAACCAAAUGAUAUUAGUUUUGAUGAUGCAAUGAUGAUGGUUUCCGAUGGUCCUUGAAGACUUCAAUUCAAUGAAUUUAAUUUGUCAAAUUAAUCAGAGAGAAAUGUCACCUUAACCCACCAAAUCUCGUCAUGAAUAGAAAAUCCAAAGUCUUUUUUUUUUUCAGCCUCCAAGAAUGAAAUCAGCUCAGCCUUGAGUUGGACGACACCCUUUAACACUUUUCCCCUGGAGAGCCAACGAACGUUGGUGUGAUACAGGAGACAUUAGUAGUCUGAAUCCAUUGCUUCACAAAGCUCUGAGGAAAGUCAGAAUGCAAGCGGUCGAGAUUUGAGGAAGUUUACAACUUCAAUCACUUGAUCCAGAACAGACAUCAAAUAUUUGAAGGCAAGAGCUUCUCUGUGGAUCAUGCAGUGAACAACUAAUACAUUUGGAUUUUCUUGACGCACAAGAGUGAAGAAUCCCUUUCUAUUUCCCUGCAUGGAAGGACAGCCAUCGGUGCAAACGCUGACACAGUUUGUCUCCACUGUACUUUGAAUAACAAAAUGGUUUCGUUCACCACUUAAAAAUAUCUUCGCCUUUGGUCGUAGUUGGUAAGUCUUUGCAAAAUAAGAAUUUGUUGACACAUUUUUCAUCCUUUAUGAACUGAAUAAAAGCUAACAACUGGGCUUUGCACUAAUGUCAGUGGAUUCAUCCACUUGAAGGGACCACAACAGAGACAGUUCAUCGUCAGUCAUUUCGAAGUGUUCGAAGAUUUGAUCUUGUAAAUCUGACAAUAAGUCUUCAAUUCUGCGCAAGAUAGUACUAUUUGACAAAGGAACUUUUUUAACUUUUUCGGCAGCAUCGGGUCCAAGGAUAGUUUCAACAACUAUUGCUAAAGCUGGUGCAAUGACUGAUUCAGCCUCUGUGUGUUCUUUCUUGCAUUUGCUAAUAACUGAACAACCUUAUAAAUUGCAAUUAAUCCCUUUUCUGAAAGCUUUAGGUAGUUCGUAAGUUUCUUAGCUUGUUUAUUUUGUUGAGCCCUGAUGUUUUUGAAGUAUUCCUUCAGUUGCGCUUUUACAGCUGGAUGUUUUGUUUCCAAGUGUCUCUUCAAUUUACUUGGAACAAGCGCCUCAUUCAACAGAGCUGAAUUGCAGAUCAGACAGAAUGACAAUGGAGAAUCUUCAGGUCCUGAAGAUAUGAAACCAUAUCCGAUGUAAUCUUCUUUGUACCUUUGUUUGGUUCCAUGCUUUUCAUUGAACGCUUUCGCAGUUUCAUUCUUACCAACGUAUUUCUCCAUGGAUAACAAUGAUUAAGGCUUAGUAAUAAUUUGUUAUUAUUAGCAUACACCUACAAAAUUUACAUGAAACACAUCGCUUAUUAUUAUCGUUACCAAUUCAAGAACUGCUGAGCGUCUGCUAAGGCGGCCUACAUUUGAGUCAUUAUAAUAAUAUAUGUAUAGUGGACAACUCCAUAACUUGAAGAGCUAACACCCCUUUCCGUCAUAAUGUAGCGAUCCACUACUAUUACUGGUCGUUGCAAGCUGGGAUGUCGUCACAAGGUAAAAUAAAAAUUUAAUAGUAGGCAAACCUGUGUAACGCUGCACGUGUGGCAUUCUGAAAACUCCUCGGCACACCUGCAAAUCUUCGGCGGCACACAGUUUGAGAAACACUGCCCUAGACAAUAAUAAAUAUUGACUAUUCAAUCUGAUUCUACAUUUAUGUCAAACAAUAUUAUGAAUAUAGUAUAGAUGUCUAGAUAUGCUAACUUAAAUAGUUAGAAUAUAGAUCUAGAAUCUAGUCUAGAUUAGUUAUUAGUAGAUCUAGAUCUAAUCUAGGUCUAACAAUAAAAUUGAUUCAGAAUACCUUGAACUCAUCCUUUGUGAUUGUGUAAGCACUUUCAGUAGAACAAGAUUAUAAGUGAAGAGAUCUGGAUAACACACGGAGGUGGCGAUUUUAUUGUUUACCAUGGAGUUGUCUACUUUUCAAAUUUUACUGACCAAGUUUUUUACAAUGACUGAUCCAUCAGCAGUUUCCGAAGCAGUAACUGAUAUCUCAAAAAAAUAUUGCUUUACUGAUGGUGUCUGGUCACCUCAGAGGAUCAACAGGAUUUGUUCAUUGAAAGACACUUGAAGGUGUAGGCAGUUAAAGCAAAAGGACUUCUUGCAAUGUUUGUUUCAAGGACCAGACACAACAGAAUUCCACAACAUAUGUAUCGGAAGCUCAAAAUCAGAAACUGAAAUCUGCCCAUGUGGAGUGUCACCAGAGAAUGUUGACCAUCUCCUCCAAAAUUGCUCUCUUUACCAAGAGGCUGUACAUGACACUGGCCCCAAAACACCCCAAUAGAAAGAAAACUAUAUGGAGAGUUCCCUGAUUUGGAAAUUACUGCAAAAAUAAUCUCAUAUACUGGUCCAGUCAUCUGAAUGCUCCAAUAAAAAAAAUGAGAAGGAAGAACAAAGAAGAUUGUAUGUACCAUUUUUGUUUGUUUGAGGAUGGGGAGAAAAGUGAUCUUAGAAUUCAAACACCAAAAGUAUGUGUCUUUAUGAAUUCAAUGUAAUUGAUACUAGGCUUUUUGGGCUGAAAAUAAAAUGCAGGAAAUUUUAUUGGAAGUGCAGAAAAAAAAAAGAUUUUGUAGCCAAAAUAAACAAUGUAUAGCCUGAGAACAAAUCAGGGGGAAGAACCAAGGGUAAUGCUAGUAUACUAUAGAAGUAUCUUUUUUUUAUGCUUGCAACUUCAUUGAUGCAUAACAGUGUCACAAACUGUUUGUUAAUGUGAUAUGAAACAUAAUUUUUUUUGUUACACAUAUAAUCACUCUAAAAAAAUUAUUUCUAAAAUAGAUAACUGUCUCUAGUAACCUGCUAGUGGACCAUGACCAACCUUUUUCUAUCUUGCUUUGUAUGAUAUAAACUUUCCUAGUUUUGACUUUAAAUUGUCGCUCUGGUCGUGUCAGUUAUGCUAUAGGCUACUUUUAAUUGCAUAUGUUUGACAAAAAUAGUGAAAACAAGAGAACAUAACAUUUUCUAAAGAAAUUUUUAAUAUUUUGCAUUUUUAGGGAAGCAACAUGGCUAUCGAAAAGCAGAGACCAUACAAACCUCAUUAGAUGAAGAGUUUUAUUUUGUUGGUAAAGUCCUUGGUUUUGAGCCAUCAGAGAAACAUAGAAAGCUCUAUUUUGACAAUAUAUAAAGAGUGACUUUAGCUCAACUCCUCACCAAGCUUUACAGUCUGUGACAUUUUUUUGGUAAAACUUUGAAUCAGAUUUAUGUGUAUAUACUUAAUUAUGUUAACUACAUGUAUCAAGAAUACUCAAUUCAUAAAAAGAAGCUGCUUUAAAGGAUUAAAGAUAACUUUGACCCUUUUGAGAAAACAAAUUGAAACACAAGAUUUUGAAUUAAUUUUGUAAUUCUUUUAUAUAUUUUUUUCUUCUGAAAGCCACAUAACGACACAAGUAUUUAUUCAAGGUUUUGAAUGUAUGGUAUACUGUUAGGUUUAGUAUUGAGUCAUUCAGUAAAUUGUUUUUGUUUUGUGGUUUUUAUAAAUUAAUAAAUGGAAGUUUAUAUAAUGUGUUAUGCUUAUAUGUAUGAUUUUUUUUUACUGAUCUAAAGAAAGAAACUUGAGGAUUUAAAUUUUUAUUCCUUUUGAAACAUGUAAGGAAUAUUAGAACAUUGGUUGGCAACAUUAUUAGUGUAAAAAUGUAUUUCACUUGGUAGUCAAGAAUGCUUAUAACUGAGAUGACAUCACUAAUGGUGGUUAACAAGGGUGCCAUGUUGUCAGCACAAUAACCAACCGCCUUUACUUUUCCAAACUCAUAUAAUAAUAAUAAUAAUAAUAAUCUUUAUUAUCCUUAAGGAAAUUUGUCUUACAAUUUGUGCAUUACGCCAAACAAAAAACAUUAUAACUAUCAGAAACCAAAGUGUACAUUCACACCAGACUCACUCAUAAUUUACAUGUGACAAAGUUUAUACCAGAUUGUUCUUAUUUAAUGAUUUGAUUGCCAGGGGAACAAAAGAGUGUUUGUGUCUGUUUGUCUUUGCUAUCGGUGUCUUGUUUCUCUUUUGUGAUGGUAAAAUCACAAAAUCCUGACACAAAGGGUGAUUCUUUAUUUCGAGGAUCUUGUUAGCUUUUUUAUAGAUGUUUGUCUCAAACAACUGCCCAAAUGGGGUUUGUUUUUUGCCAAUGAUUUUGCCAGCAGCAUUUAGGAUUCUAUGAAGUUACCCAUUAGAGCUGGGUGGACUCGAAGGCACCAUAAAGAUCCCAAAAUUAAAAAUACCCGUCUUCACCAGGAUUUGAACCCAGGGCCCUCCUGUUUGGAAGUCAAGUGCUUUACCACUCAUCCACAUGCCUCUGUUAAAGGCUAGAUUUUGUGACAAUUAUUUUUAGGAGAGAGAAUGAUGUAUGCACAAAGUUGUAGCUUUUUUUUAUAUUUUAAAUUUAUUUGUAUUUAACCACUGACUUAUUAAUCUCUGAAUUGUCCAAUUUAAGUUUGUAAUCAGUUAGUGUUGACCUUGGCUUGAUAGGCUAAAAGGAUUAACAAUAAUAAUAAUUAUAGCUUGUAUGUAGUGCUACUUUCAUGCUUACAGCAUGCUCAGAGUGCUGUGUUCCAAUCUUAUGUGUGGACCAGUAGGGGGGGGGGAUUUGGGAGAGGGUUUUCCGUGCUUCCUUCGGGUACUCAGUAAACAGAACUCUGCUUGAGUCGUGUGUUGAACCUAGAGUCACCUUGAUAGGUAGCCGAGCCAAGCCAAGUUCAAGCAUACUUAGCCUCUUGACCACGCCUCCACAUUGAAAUUAAAUUGUAAAUGUUAAAUAUUUUUAAAAAUUUAAUACAGAAUUUGAUAUUUAUGAAAUAUUUAAUACAGAAUUUGAUAUUGAUGAAAAAUUUAA
Biomphalaria glabrata is the source of this 10366-nucleotide long non-coding RNA. RefSeq lists it as uncharacterized. The transcript is spliced from 6 exons. Lineage: Eukaryota; Metazoa; Mollusca; Gastropoda; Planorbidae. The record is from RefSeq and is a predicted model, not a curated record.